GUAGGGGGCAAGCGUUAUCCGGAUUUAUUGGGUUUAAAGGGAGCGUAGGCGGAAGCUUAAGUCAGUUGUGAAAGUUUGCGGCUCAACCGUAAAAUUGCAGUUGAUACUGGGUUUCUUGAGUGCAGUAGAGGUAGGCGGAAUUCGUGGUGUAGCGGUGAAAUGCUUAGAUAUCACGAAGAACUCCGAUUGCGAAGGCAGCUUACUGGACUGUAACUGACGCUGAUGCUCGAAAGUGUGGGUAUCA
This 244-nucleotide ribosomal RNA is filed under the name uncultured bacterium. RNAcentral describes it as "partial 16S ribosomal RNA". It matches the Rfam family "Bacterial small subunit ribosomal RNA", at positions 527 to 770 of the family's 1533-position model. The record is from RNAcentral.